CAGCAGCCACGGGAAUACGGAGGGCGCGAGCGUUACCCGGAUUUACUGGGCGUAAAGGGCGUGUAGGCGGCCUGGGGCGUCCCAUGUGAAAGGCCACGGCUCAACCGUGGAGGAGCGUGGGAUACGCUCAGGCUAGAGGGUGGGAGAGGGUGGUGGAAUUCCCGGAGUAGCGGUGAAAUGCGCAGAUACCGGGAGGAACGCCGAUGGCGAAGGCAGCCACCUGGUCCACUUCUGACGCUGAGGCGCGAAAGCGUGGGGAGCAAACCGGAUUAGAUACCCGCGUAGUCCCUGUCUCUUAUAC
This 301-nucleotide ribosomal RNA is filed under the name uncultured bacterium. Its description in RNAcentral is "partial 16S ribosomal RNA". It matches the Rfam family "Bacterial small subunit ribosomal RNA", at positions 509 to 807 of the family's 1533-position model. The record is from RNAcentral.